CUCUUAAAGAUCCUUUUGCAUCCAGGCCUAAAAUACCACGUGACAUGAAUGAACCACAGUCUCGAGGACCAUCUUCAUCAACUCCGCCAUUAGCGCGAUCCAUGUCACCAACCAGAUCUUUAUCCAGUACAAGCCGACCAGGAUCUGGUCAUCGAAAAUAGAUGUUGGAAAGCGUACAGCAUCAUGUAUCUCAGGACAGACUAACAGUCUUUACGAGAGAUUUUUAAAUUAUUUCAUUCUAUAUUGAAAAAGAAAUCGUCAUCGUAUAAUUACAAAUAUCAUUAAUAAUAUAUUGUAGAUAUUUCAGUCGUUGUUAAUUACUGGUUGCCCGUGAACUUCUCCUUUUCAACCGACGARAAACCCAUCACUCUAUUUUAUGCACAAAUUGGCAGCCGCGUUAUAUGUCCAUAAGCUAGAAUCCAUACACUUCAUUCGUGAAACUAAAUAGUACGAAAUAUGUGCUAAUUCAUGGGAAUAUCUUUGUUUCCUAGAGUAAAAACACUAAACAUGUGCACUAUUUAAACAAUAGAGUAGUUGUAUGGAGGGCAUUAUGCUGUGAUAGUUGCCCUUGUAAACUGGAUGUUUUGAAAAACCAGUUUACAAAGGCAAACAGCAUAGCAUAAUGGCCUCGGUUCAACAACUGUAAUGUUUUUAUUCUAUUAGUCAACAUCAAAAUUUUCUGAAGAAGCGGGCUUCGUGCACUGAUAGGGGGCAUUAUUGGGCAUUAUCGGGUCACGUGGUCGACUCUCCACCAAUGAGAGUGGAGGGAAAUUUGUUGUUGAAUUAUAAUCAUAACUGACUGUUUGCUUCACGGAAUAUAGGAAAAGCAUCAAACCCGCGAAAUAAGGAUGGGAUAGAAGAGCCAAACUCUUUGAUUUAGAAACCUUCAGGGAAAAGAAAACAAGAGUUUACCCUACUACCUAAGGGACCGUAUGUCAUGUAUGCAGACGGUGUAGUGUCUAAUAGGCACAUACAUUGGUUUCUAUUAAUCCCUUCUAUUAUGCACAGUCUUUUCGUCGUAUCAUUAGAGGGAAGUCAAAAAACCGUGAAACCGUACGUCUUAGUUCACUCUUAUUUCAACAGCACCCUGUUUCACGGGUUCUUAUUAUGAAAUGUAGUUUAGGGAUGGUGGAUAAAAACGUAAAUGGGACUAUAAACUAGCGCUUUUCUUGCACCACCAWUAAUAAUUUCCAGACUGAUAAUGGUAAAAAUAUCAACAAGGUUCACAAUAAAUUACUCAUUCAAAAUA
Long non-coding RNA from Exaiptasia diaphana, 1249 nucleotides. RefSeq lists it as uncharacterized. The record is from RefSeq and is a predicted model, not a curated record. NCBI's taxonomy places the organism in Eukaryota, Metazoa, Cnidaria, Anthozoa, Actiniaria, Aiptasiidae. The transcript has 2 exons.